CCUGUUUCCACAGAACCUGUUAAAAAGCAGUUAGAAAAUGAGAGAUAGAUGAGACAAUUGUGAAAAUGCAAGAGGAAAGAGAGGAUAUUGGGAAAAGAAUUCCCCAGGGAGGAGAAGGCAGAAGGAACACAGAAGGCCGAGCCCAGAGGACUGUCGCGAGGUGAUUAUUCUGUCAGGGGAGAUCCAUCUGCUGCUCUGGCCAAUGUCAGCCAAGCAAAUACCCUGGCGUCCCUGCCCCCAUAUUCAUGGUGGAGACGCUAUGAACAUCAUCACAGUGAUGUUAGGAGGUCUGCAAUCCACAGGCUCACACGCUGCAAGGGCUCACAUGCUGCACCCUUUGGAUGAAAGAAGCUACAAAAGGAAGGCUGCCUCCUCCUUAUGCUGAGCUAUAACUAUCAAACUCCUGCCUUGGAACAGGAAUUUCUAACCGAGUACACUGAAGAGUGUACCUGAUUUGAGAAGGCAAAAUUCCAUGUUCACCAAACCCUUCCUCGGACCUGUUGCGACUCUGUUACUUUCCCCAAAUAUUUGGUGUCCAACCCAGGCUUUCUGUGUCCAUAGGAUGGAAGGAUUUUAGGAACCAAAUCAGGAAGGAUUAAGAAAACAGAAGCUUUGCAGAUUGUGUUACCUAACUGUUGUGAUAAAGCAGACUCUGAGACAUCCUCCUGGCAUUGGAGUCCUUGGGCUCAUCAUUCCCUGCCCUUGAGCCCUACUGAUGUCAUUCUGUAAAGAAAAAAUUACAAGAAAUUUAGUUUAAAGAUGUUCAUUCCCUAGGUGAAGUAAUCCCACCUAUAAUCCCAGCUACUUUUUGAGGCUGAGGCAGGUUCACAAGUUGGAAGCCAGUGUCGGCAACUCAUGGAGACUGUAUCAAUAAAGAGGGCUGGGGGUGUAGCUCAGUAACAGAGUGAUUGCCUCAUAUGCCUGUGCUUUCUUCAGCUGAGCACUCUGAUGGGAGCCAGCUGUUAUCUGGAGCUGUCCUGGGGAGAGGUCCACAGCAGUAGCAAAGAGCUGCUGUCUCCAGGCAAUAGCCACUGAGGACACUGGCCCCGCCAAUGAACAGUGACCUCGGACUCUGUCUUAGCCUGUUUGUUAUGCCAAAACAAAACAGUAAAACACAUUUCCUUCUCACAGCUCUGAAGGCUUAGUAGUCUAACGUCAAAGCGCUAGCAGAUUUGAUGUCUAAUGCGGGCCCAUUCCUCAUGGAUGCCACUUUCUAGCCAUGUCCUUACAUGGCAGAAGGGGCAAACAAGCUGCUUGAGGCCUCUUUUCUAAGGCCAGUGACUGCAUUCUUCAAGGCUUUGCCCUCAUGACACAAUCAUCUCCCAAAAGCUCCAACCUCCUAAUCCCAUCACCUUUGGAGGUCAGGAUUCAGCAUAUGAAUAUUAUAGAGAUACAAACAUUCAGACCAACUUUUUGCUAGCUGAGGCCCUGGCUGAUACACUGAUUGCAGCCUUGUGGGAGACCAAGAGCCAGAAGAUCAACCAAGUUGUACCUAGGUUCCUGACUCACAGAAACUAUGAGAAAAUAAAAAUGUUUGCAUGUGUUAUGAAGCAAUAAAUCACGAACACAGCUGGGAAAUUCAAACAUAGCUCAUCUGGCUCAGAACAUCAUGUUUUAGCCCUCCUGUUCUACUGCUCUCUGUGACUUGGGAUUGGUCCUUGGCUUCCCUCACAGAGGACGAUGUUCACUGCGCUUUCUCCUGCUCUGAAAUGGCCCAGGUAGCACCAAGACUCUAGUUCAGGGGUGAGGAAACUGUGGCACACGUGCAGUAGCAGACACGCAGAUCCCUCUGUCUCAGCAUGUGAGUCAAGUAGCCCCAGCCAAGGUUUGAUAAAUUAUCAGCAUGCACACAACAGCAAAAAUCACAUUCACUGUGCAAAAGCAUGCCCAAUGCAAACCUCUAUCUUUCAAUAAAAACCUGU
Chinchilla lanigera (long-tailed chinchilla) is the source of this 1922-nucleotide long non-coding RNA. RefSeq lists it as uncharacterized. The record is from RefSeq and is a predicted model, not a curated record. NCBI's taxonomy places the organism in Eukaryota, Metazoa, Chordata, Mammalia, Rodentia, Chinchillidae. The transcript has 4 exons.